UACGUAGGGUGCAAGCGUUGUCCGGAUUUAUUGGGCGUAAAGAGCUCGUAGGCGGUUUAGCAAGUUGGGUGUGAAAGCCCCCGGCUCAACUGGGGAGGGUCACUCGAUACUGAUCGACUCGAAGGCAGGAGAGGGAAGCGGAAUUCCCGGUGUAGUGGUGAAAUGCGUAGAUAUCGGGAGGAACACCAGUGGCGAAGGCGGCUUUCUGGCCUGCUCUUGACGCUGAGGCGCGAAAGCUAGGGUAGCAAACGGG
This 253-nucleotide ribosomal RNA is filed under the name uncultured bacterium. Its description in RNAcentral is "partial 16S ribosomal RNA". It matches the Rfam family "Bacterial small subunit ribosomal RNA", at positions 524 to 776 of the family's 1533-position model. The record is from RNAcentral.